RNAcentral lists this ribosomal RNA (1121 nucleotides) under uncultured bacterium. RNAcentral's name for it is "bacterial SSU rRNA". It matches the Rfam family "Bacterial small subunit ribosomal RNA", at positions 278 to 1401 of the family's 1533-position model. The record is from RNAcentral.
GAUGUCUAGGGGUUAUGAGAGGAAGGUCCCCCACACUGGAACUUAGACACGGUCCAGACUCCUUCGGGAGGCAGCAGUGAGGAAUAUUGGUCAAUGGACGCAAGUCUGAACCAGCCAUGUCGCGUGCAGGAUGACUGCCCUAUGGGUUGUAAACUGCUUUUAUAUUGGAAGAAUUGCGCUUACGAGUUAAGCGUUUGACGGUACAUUAUGAAUAAGGAUCGGCUAACUCCGUGCCAGCAGCCGCGGUAAUACGGAGGAUCCGAGCGUUAUCCGGAUUUAUUGGGUUUAAAGGGUGCGUAGGCGGAAAUGUAAGUCAGUGGUGAAAUCCUGCAGCUUAACUGUAGAAUAGCCGUUGAAACUGUGUUUCUUGAGUACAUUUGAGGUAGGCGGAAUGUGGUGUGUAGCGGUGAAAUGCAUAGAUAUACCACAGAACACCGACUGCGAAGGCAGCUUACUAAACUGUCACUGACGCUGAUGCACGAAAGCGUGGGUAUCAAACAGGAUUAGAUACCCUGGUAGUCCACGCUGUAAACGAUGAUUACUGGUUGUUUGCGAUACACUGCAAGUGACUGAGCGAAAGUAUUAAGUAAUCCACCUGGGGAGUACGUCGGCAACGAUGAAACUCAAAGGAAUUGACGGGGGCCCGCACAAGCGGAGGAACAUGUGGUUUAAUUCGAUGAUACGCGAGGAACCUUACCUGGGUUUAAAUGGGGAGUGACAGGCUUGGAAACAGGCCCUUCUUCGGACACUCUUCAAGGUGCUGCAUGGUUGUCGUCAGCUCGUGCCGUGAGGUGUCGGGUUAAGUCCCAUAACGAGCGCAACCCCUAUCGAUAGUUACCAGCACGUUACGGUGGGGACUCUAUCGAGACUGCCGGUGUAAACCGUGAGGAGGGUGGGGAUGACGUCAAAUCAGCACGGCCCUUACAUCCAGGGCUACACACGUGUUACAAUGGCCGGUACAAAGGGCAGCUACACAGCGAUGUGAUGCUAAUCUCCAAAUCCGGUCUCAGUUCGGAUCGAAGUCUGCAACCCGACUUCGUGAAGCUGGAUUCGCUAGUAAUCGCGCAUCAGCCGUGGCGCGGUGAAUACGUUCCCGGGCCUUGCACACACCGCCCGUCAAG